GAUCCUACUUCUGUGGAGGGUGUCAGUAACAACUCAUCUUGCCAUGAGGAAACCAAGAGCAGCUCCUCUGCGAAGCUCUGAUCCUUGCACAUCAGGAAGGAGAACAGUGCGAGCUGCAGUGAUUUGGCAGACGGAGCUGUGCCCAACGGAAGCCUUAGCCUGCAUUCCGUCUGGCAUCUUCUUUCCUGGCACGGGCACCUGACUCAACAUCAGAAGUGGGUAGAAGGUUACGAAAUGUCAUCUUGCCCUGCCCACUUCCCCUGACUUUGGUCCUACCCACUUAUCCUUUUCCCUGGUCUAAAUAAAUUGGUUCCCAGAUUUGA
Long non-coding RNA from Phyllostomus hastatus (greater spear-nosed bat), 323 nucleotides. RefSeq lists it as uncharacterized. The transcript has 2 exons. NCBI's taxonomy places the organism in Eukaryota, Metazoa, Chordata, Mammalia, Chiroptera, Phyllostomidae. The record is from RefSeq and is a predicted model, not a curated record.